AAAGGUUUCCGUAGGUGAACCUGCGGAAGGAUCAUUAACGUGUUCUUCGGGCCGUUGGGUCGGCCCUGCACCGGCGGAGACGCCGUGAUGCGGGCUCCCGACGCGCCUUCCACACCAAACCCCUGUGAACCUUUGGGAGGGCUCGAGAGGGCCGUCCCCUUUACAAACUCUUGUCAUUUUUAGAAUGAACGCGGACUCUGUCCGCCUAAACAUGUAACAACUUUCAACAACGGAUCUCUUGGCUCUCGCAUCGAUGAAGAACGCAGCGAAAUGCGAUAAGUAAUGUGAAUUGCAGAAUUCAGUGAAUCAUCGAAUCUUUGAACGCACCUUGCGCCCCUUGGUAUUCCGAGGGGCAUGCCUGUUCGAGUGUCUUGAAUUCUUCGCCCCUGCCGGUUUUGUAACGAGACCGGGAGGAAGGCGGACGUGGGGGCCUGCCGCGGCGACGCGGCUCCCCUCAAAUGCAUCGGUGGGGCUUCCGAGCGUUCCACGGGCGUUGUAUUGUCCUCGUCCGACACUGGGCCUCGUCACCCGCCUCGACCCGCCGUGAGAGCGGCGGUCAAAGCACUUUGAAAUCUGACCUCGAAUCAGGUAGGACUACCCGCUGAACUUAAGCAUAUCAAUAAGCGGAGGA
RNAcentral lists this ribosomal RNA (631 nucleotides) under uncultured fungus. RNAcentral's name for it is "eukaryotic LSU rRNA". The stretch from base 219 to 372 matches the Rfam family "5.8S ribosomal RNA". Lineage: Eukaryota; Fungi. The record is from RNAcentral.